UACUCGUCGUUAGUUGGUCGGGACGGGGUACGGGAGUAAACGGUACCGUGGGUCGAACCUACGCCGUCGUACCGGGGACGGUAACACUUAGAAAUAGGUGCUAAUACCGCAUAAUAGGGAAUACCGCAUGGUAAUCCUUUGAAAACUCCGGUGGUACAGGAUGGGCCCGCGUCUGAUUAGCCAGUUGGCGGGGUAACGGCCCACCAAAGCGACGAUCAGCAGCCGGCCUGAGAGGGUGGACGGCCACACUGGGACUGAGACACGGCCCAGACUCCUACGGAAGGCAGCAG
RNAcentral lists this ribosomal RNA (290 nucleotides) under uncultured bacterium. RNAcentral describes it as "partial 16S ribosomal RNA". It matches the Rfam family "Bacterial small subunit ribosomal RNA", at positions 71 to 354 of the family's 1533-position model. The record is from RNAcentral.